Molecule: long non-coding RNA, 215 nt
Organism: Thalassophryne amazonica
Lineage: Eukaryota; Metazoa; Chordata; Actinopteri; Batrachoidiformes; Batrachoididae
Exons: 4
Source: RefSeq, a predicted model, not a curated record
UGUCUAUUUUAAAAACACAGUUUGGUCCUCUGGCUGCGCUUCACUGUACGUGCACUUGAAGUCAAUCAAGUUUAUUCAAAAACCGCCUUUAUUUGGAUUUGAUCAGAGUUUACAUCAAGAGGGCGCAGAGCAGAUUUAUCAAUGUGGCUUUUGUGGAAAAGCUGAACUCCAGAGCUCAGUUUUUCCACAGGCUGGUAGUUGGAACUUUACACGGU